CUCUAACUUUCUUUCUCCCUUCACUUUAUUCACAGAGAAAAGAUCCCAAAAAUCCCAUCAAAAAUCGUCAGAUUUGAAAAUCAAGAAUGAUAAAAGAAUGAAGAACCCCAUUUUUGUUUCCAUUUCCUUAUCCCUUUGUACUCAUGAUAAACAAAAACGAUGAUGACGGUGUAAGAGGAGAUACAAUAGUCAUAGAGAUCCAAAUCUAAGAAGUGGAUUUCGUUUUCUUCGUUAUAUUUACUAUGGAACCCUAGUUUUUGUGUUUAAUUUUUUCGCAGGUAACUGAAGUAUUAUUAUGUGUUACAUUAUUCUGUAGGUUAAGGAAAUCAAUUGUGAAGAAUAAACUGUUAUUGAAGUAGAUCAUGAUACCAUUGAUUUGCUUGUGCUUUGGGUACGGAUGUUAAUCAGCCUCUAUUUCUUAAAGAAAUUUUGUUCAAUUAAGCUGUUAAGAAUUGCGAGGAAUAAAAAGAAAGGAAAAUGUAAGCAUUUGGGUUUAUCGAGUUUGAAUCUCCUGAGGUUGCAAAGAUUGUUGUAGUCUGUAUGCAUUAAUUUAUCUGCUCUUUGAGCACUUGUUGCAAGUUCAUAUUAUUCAAACAGAAAAAGUUCAUCCUUAACUGUAAGCAGUUAUUUCCAUUUGCUUAGUACUUGUUACAAUAUAAAAGGUUGUACUAGAUCUGAAGCUUUUACCAUGUGCAUUGGGGAUACCUAAUACAAACUUAUCUAAUUUUUAUAUAACAAACCAUCUCAAGUCAUAUUUCUACCACAAUCCAUGAAUAGCAGAACUAAAGCAGAAUUCCCAAGAUAUUUUCAUUUCACUCUUACUUGUUUACGGGACAGAACAUCGGAAGAACAUAGAAAAUUGGUGGAGGGAAUCAUGAAGCGAGGAAAGAUAGGACGAUUGAAGAUAGAGGCUGUUGGUAUUAGUUACGAGUGCCCAGAAAUUGUAAGAAACAUAUUAUUUACUCUGCUAUUUUUUUCUGUUCUUUUGGCUUUUAUACUAAAAGGUUACUUCACUGAUCUAAUACUCUAUUUUCCCAUUGCAUGUUGAAAUGGUAUAUAUUUGGCCUGCCUCGAGUUACCUUUUUUUAUCACGUUUUGAUUUCUUGACUUCGUUUUGUGUCUCAGAAUCUGGACACCCUAUUCCAGCAACUUAUGCCAAAAUCGUCAUAGAAACAUUGGUUUUGGUAUUUGCUAGUUCAGUAUCCUUAAGUCAUGCAACCUACUGUUAGUCACCACUUCACUUUGUACAGAUUCAAUACGAAGUUUAUUAGUCCAAGUACCUUUUUUUUUUAGAAAAAGAGGAACACCUCAGAUAAUAUAUUGAAUUUGACCGAUAUUUCCAUAGUUGGAACUACGGAUUGUCAUUACAAUUUCAUUCCACUGUUGAAUGUUUAGAUAAGUUAAUAAAGCCCUUAGGCUAUGAUCCAUCCAGGUAUGUUUAAUUUCAUACUUGUUACAGAAAAAGAUAGUUUUGCUGCCCAUAUUACAUCAGUUCUUAAAACCAAGCUAAAGUCCUGAGCUAAGAAGUUGAUGGCAAUUUUUUUUGAGUUUCCAAAGUCUUCACUUAUCAAGUACCGCUGUCUUCGAGCUUUUGCGUACAUUCCUACCAGCAACACAAGAGUUGGUUCCGAGUCACUUCUGAAGGAUAUUUUGUGCCUACUCCAACAUGUUGCCCAUUGGAAAGCUGCUUCUGCUCCAGCUCUUUCUAUCUCCUCUAUUGUUGUAUUGUCAGUAGAGAAACCCCUUGCUUCUAUGACUAUACAUGUGUGAUCAACCAAAGUUAGACCAAUUCCUGCUUUCGAAUUAGAGUUCAUUACUGUCAGAGUUCAUUACUGUCAGAGCAAUAUUAAUUUUCAGAGCCAUAUUUCUUCC
Papaver somniferum (opium poppy) is the source of this 1872-nucleotide RNA transcript. RefSeq lists it as uncharacterized. The transcript is spliced from 4 exons. NCBI's taxonomy places the organism in Eukaryota, Viridiplantae, Streptophyta, Magnoliopsida, Ranunculales, Papaveraceae. The record is from RefSeq and is a predicted model, not a curated record.